GUUAGACCUCUACAUUGGCUGGUGGAAAGAACUGCACCAACAUUUGUUUUCAGCACCGGUGGGCUUCUUCUGUAAUCGGAUCGACUCCAAUUAUGAGCAUUCUGAUUCCGAGGUAACUUUUGUAACAACUUCACAUAUUUUCUUUUGCCAUGUCUUUCCUGUGGUCACUGACUUUUCUUUCUUUUGCAUCCAACCAUCGCAAUUCCCGCGGUCAGUAGAAGUGGCAAGCCAAUCGAAUACUCUUCAUCGGCUCUUCCCUCCCUAGGCUCCGGAGCGCCUUCCCCAAGCGAGUACAUCAAGAAGUUCUCGGGGCCACUACAAGAAAUAUGUCGUUUUUUGACGUAUUAAGUAUGACAAUAGGAUAUAAUGUCAUUAUAUCAUUCAUUUUAUGAUAUUAUGUAAUGGACAUUUCAACUUAAUGACAAUAAAAAAUCAAAUGUCACAACAAAUAUCAUAUAGGUAUUGCAAUGUCACCCGGUGACGAUAUUCGCUUGUCAUAAGGCCUAUUUUGUAAUGUCAUAAAUAUAUGACAAAGGUU
This 538-nucleotide long non-coding RNA is filed under the name Oryza brachyantha (malo sina). Its description in RNAcentral is "long non-coding RNA (OBRA_LNC003087)". Lineage: Eukaryota; Viridiplantae; Streptophyta; Magnoliopsida; Poales; Poaceae. The record is from RNAcentral.